CGUUGAUAAGACAUAGUACUAUGAAUGCAAACUAGAGAUUUGUAUUCAUAGCACUAUGGCUUACCAACG
Non-coding RNA from Cordylochernes scorpioides, 69 nucleotides. The record is from the annotation of a GenBank genome assembly. Lineage: Eukaryota; Metazoa; Arthropoda; Arachnida; Pseudoscorpiones; Chernetidae.